CCGCGCCCUGGCGCCGCGGAGAUGCGGCCCUCCCAACUUCUUCCUGAGCGAUUCUCACCGCCACGGCUCACCCUGCUGAUUGCACAAAACGCAAGCCGCCUCCCUGCCUCCCCCCAGUGGCAAACCCAUAAGUAGUGAGUUGUGUGGAGACGUGACAUCCGGCUCUGCGCUGUGACCGUGAGACACACUUGGAUCUGUGUGUUUGUUUCUUCCGUUUAAACUCCGUCCUAAUUCGAGGGGAAAAUAUAUCACAAGCCUACGACCUUGGAAGUUUCCCUUUUUUCUCCUGCAUCUCCCCCUCAUUCUCUGCCUCAAGACAGUUUCUUGCAUCCUGCCUGGCAGCACCUACUGAGGCUAGUAACACCCGAGUCAAAUCGUUCUCUCUCUGUCGGGGAACGGAAGUGAGGCCCUCGCUUGAACGGCCACUCUUCGAAACAUGUCACCGCCUCUGCCUUUUGCAAGAUUGCAAUGGUUGGCAAAAUGAAUGACCUCAUCUCCCUGGCUCAAGUUAUCAGCUUGCCCAAUCUCUGGAACUUUCU
Molecule: long non-coding RNA, 539 nt
Organism: Neogale vison (American mink)
Lineage: Eukaryota; Metazoa; Chordata; Mammalia; Carnivora; Mustelidae
Exons: 3
Source: RefSeq, a predicted model, not a curated record